Molecule: long non-coding RNA, 825 nt
Organism: Homo sapiens (human)
Lineage: Eukaryota; Metazoa; Chordata; Mammalia; Primates; Hominidae
Exons: 2
Source: RefSeq, a predicted model, not a curated record
CCUUGUAUUCUGCUGAGACUAGCAGUUCCCAGAUCUGAUGAGUAUUGGUAGACUUAAUUAUAUUGUAUCAGGGAUGUAGAGUAAGAAAAAGCCCCAAGUGGAGUAGUGCUGCACAAAUGUUAUUUAUGUGACUGAUUGAGCUACCUGAUGAUUUCAAGGUUGUUGGGCAUCUCAGCUUUCCACUUGUUACUGUUCUUAAAAACAAAGGUUGUAUGUAUGCUACCUUGGUAUGUGUCAGUUUUAAGUUGCUUGGGUCAGGAGUUUUCACUGUGGGAUUUUUUUCAGAUAGCAUUUGAAAGGACUGUCACAUCAAGCUAAAUAUGUGUAUCUGUUGUUUAUACUUUCUGGCUCCUUAAGUGUGAGGGCCAUGUGUGUUUGCAGAUUACUUACCUUUUCUGCUCUUUGAACUAGAUUCUUAUCAAGAGUUGAGGCCUAUGGUUUGUCUUGCUGGAGUAAUUGUGAAAUAAGAAGAGAGAGGAAUUGCCCCAGUGAGAGAUGUCACAGCCUUUGGGCCCCACUCAUUACCACAUGUGCAUCUAACCAGCAGAAGGCCCACUGGUAACUAUGGUUUGAUUAUGUGAAAUUCAGUUUAGCUCUUCUUGCCAAUUCAUUUCACCCAGUCUACUAAAUUGCCAUCAAGUGUUAAUGACUUUGGGCUCCUGUCAACCUGGUUUAAUUCAAGCUAGGAACCCAGUGCCAAAAGCAUUCUCCAUUCCCUUCAUUGGCCAUCCCAGGAGAUUCCUGCCUUUCCCUGUGAGAAAGUUGGAUUUAAUUGGUCUUUUCCUUUUUUUUUUUUUUUUUUAAAUUAGUAUUUUAGAGCUAUAA